This 177-nucleotide non-coding RNA is filed under the name Anaerosalibacter bizertensis. RNAcentral describes it as "Sporanaerobacter sp. C5BEL 6S / SsrS RNA". It matches the Rfam family "6S / SsrS RNA". Rfam says of the family: E. coli 6S RNA was the first non coding RNA to be sequenced, but its function was unknown until recently. RNAcentral also lists the same sequence under 1 other name. Lineage: Bacteria; Bacillati; Bacillota; Tissierellia; Tissierellales; Sporanaerobacteraceae. The record is from Rfam by way of RNAcentral.
AAAUUUCUGCGGUGUUCGUUAUCCUAAGUAAUUCAACCGACAUAGUAUUCAACGGGAGUCUGAGUUCGAUAAUGUAUGGCAUGCCUUUUUAAAAGGACGUCAAAAAUUAUCGACAGGACACCCACCUUGUAAGAGGCGGGUGUGAAUUAAGUAGGAAGACGGCAUUGUGGGAAUACA